UUCUUGCCCUUUUCACCGAGAACAGAAAGGUUGCUGAGGAUGAGUUUUUUUUUUUGGGCUUGGCGCGGACAGAGACGGCGGUAAAGGGGAAGGGCUGUGGUGGAGGCGUUGGCAGAAAAGGCUUGUAUUAGAAGUGGGGAGGAGCAGAAUGGGAAAUGAGGGGUUUUUGUGGAGGAUUCGUUUGGGGAAAUUGGGGGGACAGAGGGUGGAAAGAGAAUGGUGGCAGCCGGCAGCCGGUUAAGGUGGUGGGAAAUUUGGCAGCGGUGAUUGGAAAAAUUUUUAUCGGAUGAUUGAAGCUGAAACCCCCAUUUCCCUUUUGUGUGUUUUUUUCGUUGCUUGUUUCCUCCAUUUUUUGCUCAGCCCGCCGCUUGGUUCCUCUUUUCCCUCUGCUUUUCCUUUUUAUCCCUCGCGCUCUUCUUCUUUUUUCUUUCUUUCCCAGUUCGCCGAAGCUUUCAUGCCCAAAACCUAGCCGCCCCUCUCUGUUUUUCUCCCUCUGCUCCCUUUGCUUAGCUUUCUUUCC
Molecule: long non-coding RNA, 520 nt
Filed under: Coffea arabica (coffee)
Lineage: Eukaryota; Viridiplantae; Streptophyta; Magnoliopsida; Gentianales; Rubiaceae
Description: long non-coding RNA (CARA_LNC003370)
Source: RNAcentral